Molecule: ribosomal RNA, 453 nt
Filed under: uncultured bacterium
Lineage: Bacteria
Description: bacterial SSU rRNA
Rfam family: Bacterial small subunit ribosomal RNA
Source: RNAcentral
GAUGAACGCUGGCGGCGUGCCUAACACAUGCAAGUCGAGCGAUUCUCUUCGGAGAAGAGCGGCGGACGGGUGAGUAACGCGUGGGUAACCUGCCCUGUACACACGGAUAACAUACCGAAAGGUAUGCUAAUACGAGAUAAUAUGCUUUUAUCGCAUGGUAGAAGUAUCAAAGCUUUUGCGGUACAGGAUGGACCCGCGUCUGAUUAGCUAGUUGGUAAGGUAACGGCUUACCAAGGCGACGAUCAGUAGCCGACCUGAGAGGGUGAUCGGCCACAUUGGAACUGAGACACGGUCCAAACUCCUACGGGAGGCAGCAGUGGGGAAUAUUGCACAAUGGGCGAAAGCCUGAUGCAGCAACGCCGCGUGAGCGAUGAAGGCCUUCGGGCCGUAAGCUCUGUCCUCAAGGAAGAUAAUGACGGUACUUGAGGAGGAAGCCCCGGCCGUAACUACGUG